Molecule: long non-coding RNA, 1382 nt
Filed under: Monodelphis domestica (gray short-tailed opossum)
Lineage: Eukaryota; Metazoa; Chordata; Mammalia; Didelphimorphia; Didelphidae
Description: lncRNA (ENSMODG00000044110.1)
Source: RNAcentral
UAUUUUAAUGAAGGGAGAAUAAUAGAGGUAAGAAUUAGAAAAGAAAUAAGAAAGAAAGAAAGAAAGAAAGAAAGAAAGAAAGAAAGAAAGAAAGAAAGAAAGAAAGAAAGAAAGAAAGAAAGAAAGAAAGAAAGAAAGAAAGAAAGAAAGAAAGAAAGAAAGAAAGAAAGAAAGAAAGAAAGGAACAAAGAAAGAAAGAAAGAAAGGAAGAAAGAAAGGAAGGAAGGAAGGAAGGAAGGAAGGAAGAGAAAGAGAGAAAGAAAAAGAAAGAAAGGAACAAAGAAAGAAAGGAAGGAAGGAAGAGAAAUAAAAAGGAAGAAAGAAAGAAAGGAAGAAAAAAGAAAGAAAGGAAGAAAGAAAUUAAGAAAGAAAAAGAAAGAAAGAAAAGAAAAAGAAAAAAGUUUUGUAUAUCUUCAAGUACUAUAUAAAUGUUAACUGUUAUAGCUCUAAUGAAGUUUCACUAUUUACUUAGUAUGACGUAGUGGAGAAAGCAUUUAACUUGAGGUAAAUAGACUUAUAUGACAGUCUUAGUAUUGCCAAUCUGUAAACUUUCAGGCAAUUUAUUUAUUUUCUUUGGAACUUAGUUUCCAUAUUUAUAAAAUGAGAGGUUUGUGACCACAUGAACUUAAAAGUACUUAAAGCUCUGAGAUCUUAUGAUGUUGUAAAUGCUUGUAGGACUUUUUUUUUUUUACAAACAUACGAAAAUAGAGAAACAGAAAAUAUGGAUAACAGUCAUGAUGGAUGGCAUCUAUUAAGGUUUCUUUGUACUAAGCAAUGUAGUCGAUAGAGCACAAGGGUUGGAAUCAGGAAAAUGAUUCUAAAGAUUCCUGAGAUACUGACUUUGUGAUGUUGGACAAUAGCAACAAUAGAAAUUAUUUAGCUAAUCCUUUAAGCUAAUCCUUGAAAUUUAUGAUCCUAUGUUCCUGAACUAUGUGGUCAACUUGAUUUAUGGAAUAAGGGACAAAUGCAGAACUUUGGCUGCAUUUGCUACUUGAAAGAUAGGCAUAUAUUCUAUUUAUGAACAUAAGUCACACACAUAUACAAUAUAUUAAAAUUACAUGUUAUAUUAUUAAAAUAGAUAAUAUUAUAAUAUAUAACAAUUUUCACUCCAGUUCAGUCAAUGCUUAUGUUUCUCAAAGACAAUGACUAUUUCCUACUUGUCUUUGUAUUUUUUUCAUCCAGUAAUUGGUAUACUGAUUUUUAUAAAUUAGGCACUAAAUAAUUCUUGUUGAAUCAAUUAUAGAUUGCAAAGUACUAGACUUAUUCUAAUGCUAAACACAUUUAUGUUCACAAGAAAUAUCUGAAAAUACUUUCAAAGUUUCCAGACCCAGGAUUAGUCUUUUCCUUUCCAAUAAACCAAUGGCUUAUCUUUACUUAGUGCA